This 493-nucleotide ribosomal RNA is filed under the name Microlophus peruvianus. RNAcentral's name for it is "partial 16S ribosomal RNA". It matches the Rfam family "Bacterial large subunit ribosomal RNA", at positions 1851 to 2589 of the family's 2925-position model. The record is from RNAcentral. Lineage: Eukaryota; Metazoa; Chordata; Lepidosauria; Squamata; Tropiduridae.
GGUAACGCCUGCCCAGUGAAAUUUCAACGGCCGCGGUAUCCUAACCGUGCAAAGGUAGCGUAAUCACUUGUCCUCUAAAUAGGGACCAGUAUGAAUGGCUAAAUGAGGGUCAACCUGUCUCCUCUAAUCAAUCAGUGAAACUGAUCUACCAGUACAAAAGCUGGUAUAGACCCAUAAGACGAGAAGACCCUGUGGAGCUUUAAAUCAAAAAUCAAUAUUUAUACACCACACAACCAAAUCUGACUUUAAGAUUUUCAGUUGGGGCGACUUCGGAACAAAAAACAACUUCCGAGCACAAGACCUACACUCUUUCACAGACCUACAAGUCUAAAACUUGACCCAGUCUACACUGAUCAACGAACCAAGUUACCCCAGGGAUAACAGCGCAAUCUUCUUCAAGAGUCCAUAUCGACAAGAAGGUUUACGACCUCGAUGUUGGAUCAGGACACCCAAUUGGUGCAGCCGCUAUUAAAGGUUCGUUUGUUCAACGAUU